GUGGAUUAGAUACCCUGGUAGUCCACGCCCUAAACGAUGAGUGCUAGAUAUCGGGACUGAUGUUCUCGGUGUCGUAGUUAACGCGUUAAGCACUCCGCCUGGGAAGUACGGUCGCAAGACUAAAACUCAAACGGAAUUGACGGGGACCCGCACAAGCGGUGGAACAUGUGGUUUAAUUCGACGCUACGCGAAAAACCUUACCAGGCCUUGACAUGGUGGUCAUAUCGCAAAGAAACUUGCGAGUCACUUCGGGUGGACCAUCACAGGUGUUGCACGGUGGUCGACAACU
RNAcentral lists this ribosomal RNA (289 nucleotides) under uncultured bacterium. Its description in RNAcentral is "partial 16S ribosomal RNA". It matches the Rfam family "Bacterial small subunit ribosomal RNA", at positions 773 to 1060 of the family's 1533-position model. The record is from RNAcentral.